Molecule: long non-coding RNA, 320 nt
Filed under: Ananas comosus (pineapple)
Lineage: Eukaryota; Viridiplantae; Streptophyta; Magnoliopsida; Poales; Bromeliaceae
Description: long non-coding RNA (ACOM_LNC038226)
Source: RNAcentral
GUUGAGGUUACUUCUUUUAUGUAUUAGCUCAUCCUGUACUUAUGUUGAGAGUAGAUCUUGUAUAGGGUGAGGUUUUGAGAGGAUUGUAUUUGUAUAUGAUUAUAUUUUGAGAAAAGAACGUAAGAGUUGUAAUUAAAUGUAUCAAGUUGAAUGGAUGUAAUAGAAUAGUUAAGUAUCUCUCUUUCUCUCACUUGUAUGGUUGUAUUACUCAUGAUGCUUGCUCUCGUAUUGUAUAGCACUGUUUGUGCUUUCGUUAUCGUUGUUUGAUCAUGUAUGUAAUCAAGUAUAUUUCCUGGAAACUUGUGUACAUGAUCUCGUUG